Papaver somniferum (opium poppy) is the source of this 1277-nucleotide long non-coding RNA. RefSeq lists it as uncharacterized. The record is from RefSeq and is a predicted model, not a curated record. The transcript has 4 exons. Lineage: Eukaryota; Viridiplantae; Streptophyta; Magnoliopsida; Ranunculales; Papaveraceae.
GUUUGGUCAGGGUAAAGAGGGAAAAAUAAAUAAGAUUUCAUUUUCUCAUAUGCUUUUAGAUCUGGGAAUUUGUGUGCUCUAAAUCUCUUCCUCAGAAUCUAUUCUUCAGGAUUGACUGAUUUGAACUACUAGUUGUAGAGAUCUUUUCGUCAAACCCUCUCAAAUCUAGGACCUUGUAAAAUUAGUUUUAUCAAAUUUGCUAGUUGUUGGCACAAUCAUUUGAAAAGAGCAAAUUAUAUGAAAAACCAAAAUUAGUUUUUCUCAUUUUGAAUUAUAAGAUGAUCAAUCAAAUCGCUCACAGAUUUCCUUCCACCAAAAUCAUACAAAUAAAUCACCAGUUCAAACUUCUUCGAAAACGCCAUUGAAUCGAUCAAAUCACUGUCCUUCUCACGCAAAAUAGAUCAAAAACAGAGAAGUUUCAUUAGGCAUCUAGGAUGGGUGCGUUUAAUUCAAAUAAGGAGGUGAUGGUCUGUUUACCUUGUAUUACUCGUUCUAAUCUGCGUACUGCAAAUGUUUUUGCUUACCGUGUCUUCCGGUUUGCAUACUCCUUAGUUCAAAUUUUGUUUGUCAACAAUAAAGUUUGAUGUGUAAUCUGGGUUGCACUUGGUCUAUAAAAAAUAGACGGAGACUUCAUUUUUGUUUCUCUGUUCUACGUGAUUCAGAUGGAGGUGCAAUAGAGAUGCACAGGGAUUUUGCUGGAAUCAAUUGGGGAAAGGAGGAUGCUUGUUAAUCUUUGCAGACUCAAGUGCAGUUGAAGGAUCUGUUAAAAUCCUUGGGAGCUAUUCGUCCAAUAGAGAAUGGACUGGGAAACCUUUCUAAUAUUGCAUCUUUAUUAUGUUCUUGCAGGAAAUCUUAAGUCGUCCUGUAAUUGAACCCCUUUUGGGCCAGAGUUAUUGGGAAUAACGAUGUUAGCGAACCAAACAAGCUCUGAAGUCCGAUGCUGUUACCCAAGCGCUCAUGUGAAUUAGGCUAGAUACAUAAAUUGAAGGUUUUACGGAGAACAACAUCCUGGGCGUCAGGCAUUGCGAAGGCGCUCCAGAAGUUCGCUGGGAUGGCUGCGACUAUGCAAAUUCUUCUGAAGAAAGCGUGAACAAGACCCUACAACAAGAGGGGCAGCGGAAGCUACUAAAUUGAAGACACUAAAGUUCAUGAUUUUCAUCUCACUAAUGAAAGAAUGAUAUUAAUUUUAUUUAUUCUGAUCCUUUGUUGUAUCGUUUUGUUAACCUUGAAUUUCAAUGACAACGAAGUGUUUAAGAAAUAAAUGUGCUUUUUCUAGG